AUAGGUAUAUAUGUAUAAUUUUAUAUUAUAUAUAUAAUAUAUAUCUCUUAUUGGUUCUAUUUCUGUUGCAUGGAGAACCCUUUCUAAUACAGAGGAAAAUGGUAGGUGUCAUAUUUUAACCAAGAAUGUAUGUCAGACACCCACAGGACACUUCCCAAAAUUGUGUAUGGGGGGAAAGAGAGUAGAGAAGGGGUGGGUGAGGAACGUGCCAUUAAUGUAAAACUAGAUUUCUUUCACUUCUAGAUGGGGAUACAACUUACAAAAAACAUUUUGAUACAUAUUUUGACUUAAUUUUAUCAGAACAAUCUGUUAAGAAAGCCCCAGGUAAUGCUUGUAAGAGUAUAGAAGAACAAAGUACACGUUCUAAAUGAACGACCAUUUUAAUAGCUUGCACUAAAUAAUUUCAUGUAGUCAGCACUCUAUAUUUUAAAGAAACACAGAAUAUUCAGCUAUUAAAUAUAGAUAAUUUAAUCCUGAAUAUUAUAAAACUAUAUUAUUUUCCUAUUGUCUCUUACUAUUAUUAAUCAAGCAAAUUAAGUCAGUCAAGUGAUUCCAAAUAAAAUGUGACAAUUUGUUAUACACAGCAAUUUUAAAAUUAUAAAUUAAACUCUAUGUGUUAAUUAUAUUUCCAAAAUCAAACAGCUACAUGUUUAUGUCUUGAAGACUAUCUAAAUAGUUUACUUCUUAGUAGGAUUUUUUAAUAGCUUUUUUUGUUGUUAUGAGUUAAAAGAUACCUCAAUAAAGUGAUUAAACCACUUGGAAAAUCAUGUGCUUACACGCAUAUUUAUACAGUACUUUUUUUUCCCUUUAAAUGAGAUGCAACAUUAACAAUUCACAUCUUGAUAGAUAGUAACAUGCGUUUUGUGUCUCAGACUGGGCUCUCUUUUCCCUUUCUCUGUGGCAUUUAUGGUACUCUUAAAACAAGUUGGCAAUAAAAAUCAAGGAAACCUGCCUGAGUAAAUGUGUUUAUUUUAUAGAUGUUGCUUUUUAUUUAGCAUCUGAAGUGAUAUUUGAAGGAAGAAACUUGCUAAAAUCUCAACAGAGACAGUUCAUAAUUUUCCAGCAGGUUGAUGAAGUCUGAGAUGACCUCACCUGGCCAUGAUAUCCUUGCAAUUGCUGACACCUGUAUGUUGCGUGGAGCAUCAGGUGGUCAUGAAAGACAAGGGAAAUUAAAGAAAAGCAAAUUUACUCCUUCUGAAAAGUUUUAAUUAUUUUAGAGCAAAUGUGUGUUUGCCCAUAAAUCAUGCUGUGAAAUUGUUUGGCCCACAAAUGAAUCAGUAAAGAUGAAAAUAGUAUGGGAAUUGAAGUCCUGAGGGAAAAAGGGCUCGUGUCCCCGACUGGCUAACACAGACAUACAAAACAUGUUUGUUUUUUGUGUGUUUGAAGUUAAGUAAACACAAUGAGGCAAAACCUCUAAUUUUAUGUAAACUCCAAAUGUAUAAGAAAUUGUAUGUAUCAAACCUGACAGUGAAGUAACAAAGUUAUAUUUAAAAUUUAUACAUAAAACCCAAAAGCAUUUUACAUAAAAUUGCUAGUCAAAGAUUGGAACGCUUUUCUGAUGGGGGGAAAUACAUGGACAAAUAUUUUUAUGGAAAUUAUUUAGAAGAACCUGUGUUCAGUCUUUGGAUUAUAGUACUACAAGAUCCAGAAAGGUCAUUUAAAUUAUAAUGCUCAAAUUCUGUCACCUUUCUGUCUCUUUUUAUUUUCUAGAGUAGAACGUCAGUCUACUGACCCUCAACUUACGCUGAAUGUAAUCCACAAGAGGACAAACACUGUAUGGAAAAUGAUUCUACUUUCACCAGGAAGGAAAUGUCAUGGGCCUCCGAAUUGGGAGGGGGAAAAAAAAUCUUGCAGCAGUGCCUAUUGGAAAUUACCAGGAAUAAAUAUCUUUGUUUUCUUGAAAUAAAGUUCAAGGGCUUUUCUGGAGUGAGGGAGCAGACUGAGGGAAGAACCAGAAGGCUGCCAAAAUACAAUUGUGUGCCUUUAAAGGAAAUAACAACAAGAAUUAGGAGCGCCCUGGAGGCAAGGAAGACAAGAUGUGGUUUGGGGAUUUCAACUUCCAAGUUCAGCUGUGAGGCCUAUGGACUGAAUCUUAAGCUUUUUCUUGACAUCAGAUAUCUCCAUGUAUAUGGCAAUUCCUGCCACAGAAAUCUACUCUCAAAAAAGUCCCGGAACCCCUGAGGUCUGCUUCUGGGGAAACAAAACCACGGUAACUUUAGAAAUAUGGUAUUAAUGGGUAAAGACACCAUGGAUAUGAAGGAGAUUACCUAUGGAAGAAUAUUAAGAAGAGAAGAAGGUAAAUAAUCUUCCUUGAGGAACAUCCACAUUUAAAGGUCAGGGAGAAGAUAUAUCAGCAGAAGCAUCAGAGGGGGUUGUGGACAAACUAUUUUCAAAAACUAAGAUGUGAAGACCACUAGAAUUUGCUUAAAUGCUGUUGGAAAAAGAUAUAGCAAACAGGAGUGUGAAAAUAUAGGUAAGUGAAAAGAGGAAUAGUCACUGGUGUAAGAUUCCCAAGGGAGUAAGAUAAAAUUGAAUCCAGGUCCUGAAUGCUGGGAUAAACUUUGCAAAAUAUUUGGUAGGUUGGGUCAUAGAAAACAGAGGAAGUUCUUCUCUGAUAUUUGGAUAAUUCUGUAUUUGGAAACAACAAGAUAAUGGAUUGUCUUUCUUCCUACUUUUACCUUACUGUUUGAGUACUGGCAUGAACAAAACUCAGAACAUAAUGAAUCUCACUUAUUUCCAAGUGGGCUACUCCGUUAUUUAAAAAAACACAUCACAUGGACAUGGAGUUUGAGGAAAAUAUUUAUUCUAUUUAAUAUUAAGUUAGGCUUCCUUCCUCUAUUCAUCAAAUUGAACUGGAUAGAAUAGGAGUCCCUAAUCCAACACCUCCAACUGGAGAAACAGUCUACUGAUUCUCACAGAUCUCAUGCCCUGCUUUGUGUAGAUAAUUUUCAUAUGGAUUAUAAUGAAUAAUAUUAAUUUAAACAAUUCCCUAGAAGCCUAAAACAUUUUGUUUGAAGCUCUUCUUUGUCCAUCUAAAAAUAACAUCUGCUCUACAAGGCUACCAUCAUAAUUGAGUUCUACAUCUCCAGUCACAACUAGAACCAAAAUUACAGUGGACAUACAAUAAUUCUUUAUCUCUUGGUUCCAGAUUUUUCUCAGUUAUUUAUAUCUCUCUAUUAUGGUCUCAUGUUCCUUUCUGUUACAGAGUUUCAGUCUAUGUUGAGUCAAGCAAUUAUAGGGCUGCUUAAACUCUGGUUCAUUAGCCAUGGUCCACUAGCAUCCAUGUCAUGGCGCUAGGGUUUAAUAUGGUUAAUAGGAUCCUGGAUGAGGAAGUAGAUUGAAAAUUAACUUUAAAUUAAACAUAAAACACUAAAAAUAAUUAGAAGCAUUUAAAAAUAAAUGUUUCCAUAUAUGAGUUAGAAAAUCGGACUUUAUUUUGAUCCUAGGGGCUGCUGGCUAUAGUGAAAUGUAUAAAAAAGAGAGCGUGAUCCUAGUUUCUGUCUCUACUAUGGGUUACUUGUGAUUAACUUCAAAUAUUCCCUCCGCAAGAAGAGGCCCAGUAGAAGAAAAUGAGCUUCAGUUAUUCCAGCACAACUACUGUGAUAUUUGUAAAGAUUCAAAACCUAUAAUAAAAUGUGUAAAAGGAAACUCCAUUUGAAAUGAUUUGAAAUCUCACAUGGAAAUCUAGUUUUUUAAAUCAGAGCUUAGUCAGAGAAAAUAACAGAAUAUUGUAAUAAUUGAAUUACAAAAACAAAAAUUUUGGAAAAUAAUUUUUUCUCUCAUGUGAUGUGUGUAUGUCUAUCUAUUUAGCAAUGGUGUUAUUCCAUCAAAUGGGAUUAGAUUCAUUUUUGACUCCUGCUAAGCACCCUGUCCCCCCAACCUCAAGAUUAUGAAAGUGGAAGGGAAGGGGGAGAUAGGGAGGAAAUAUGACUUAUUUAAACUGUAUUAAAAUGCUGAAAUAAAAUGAACAUUCAAAACUCCUA
This is a long non-coding RNA of Macaca mulatta (Rhesus monkey), 3983 nucleotides long. RefSeq lists it as uncharacterized. NCBI's taxonomy places the organism in Eukaryota, Metazoa, Chordata, Mammalia, Primates, Cercopithecidae. The record is from RefSeq and is a predicted model, not a curated record.